RNAcentral lists this ribosomal RNA (241 nucleotides) under uncultured bacterium. RNAcentral's name for it is "partial 16S ribosomal RNA". It matches the Rfam family "Bacterial small subunit ribosomal RNA", at positions 337 to 579 of the family's 1533-position model. The record is from RNAcentral.
UCCUACGGGGGGCAGCAGUGGGGGAUAUUGCACAAUGGGGGAAACCCUGAUGCAGCGACGCCGCGUGGGUGAAGGAGCACCUCGGUGCGUAAAGCCCUAUCGGCAGGGAAGAAAAGCGAACAGGUUCGCCUGGACGGUACCUGACUAAGAAGCCCCGGCUAACUACGUGCCAGCAGCCGCGGUAAUACGUAGGGGGCAAGCGUUAUCCGGAUUCACUGGGUGUAAAGGGAGCGUAGACGGC